This 431-nucleotide ribosomal RNA is filed under the name uncultured bacterium. RNAcentral describes it as "partial 16S ribosomal RNA". It matches the Rfam family "Bacterial small subunit ribosomal RNA", at positions 338 to 795 of the family's 1533-position model. The record is from RNAcentral.
CCUACGGGGGGCAGCAGUAGGGAAUAUUGCGCAAUGGGCGAAAGCCUGACGCAGCAACGCCGCGUGGAGGAUGAAGGCCUUCGGGUCGUAAACUCCUUUCAGCAGGGAGGCGGUACCUGCAGAAGAAGCACCGGCUAACUACGUGCCAGCAGCCGCGGUAAUACGUAGGGUGCGAGCGUUGUCCGGAAUUAUUGGGCGUAAAGAGUUCGUAGGUGGUCUGUUGCGUCGGAAGUGAAAUCCCGGAGCUCAACUCCGGGACUGCUUUCGAUACGGGCAGACUAGAGGUAGGUAGGGGAGAGCGGAAUUCCUGGUGUAGCGGUGGAAUGCGCAGAUAUCAGGAGGAACACCGGUGGCGAAGGCGGCUCUCUGGACUAUCUGACACUGAGGAACGAAAGCGUGGGUAGCAAACAGGCUUAGAUACCCUUGUAGUC